AAUCAACGCUGGCGGCGUGCCUAACACAUGCAAGUCGAACGAGAAAGUGGAGCAAUCCAUGAGUACAGUGGCGAACGGGUGAGUAACACGUGACUAACCUACCUUCCAGUGGGGGAUAACCUCGGGAAACCGGGGCUAAGACCGCCUAACCUCGUGAGGUGAGAUUCCUUGCGAGCAAAGGGGUAAGACGCUGGAUGAGGGGGUCGCGGCCGAUUAGCCAGGUGGCGGGGGACCGGCCCACCAAGGCGAUGAUCGGUAGACUGCAUGAGAGGGCGGACGGACACACUGGAACUGAAACACGGGCCAGACUCCUACGGAAGGCAGCAGUGGGGAAUUUUGCACAAUGGGGGAAACCCUGAUGCAGCAACGCCGGGUGGAGGAUGAAGUCUCUUGGGACGUAAACUCCUUUCGACCGGGACGAGAAUGACGGUACCGGUGGAAGAAGCCCCGGCUAACUCCGUGCCAGCCGCCGCCGUAA
Molecule: ribosomal RNA, 478 nt
Filed under: uncultured bacterium
Lineage: Bacteria
Description: partial 16S ribosomal RNA
Rfam family: Bacterial small subunit ribosomal RNA
Source: RNAcentral